GAUGAACGCUGGCGGCGUGCUUAACACAUGCAAGUCGAACGGAAAGGCCCUGCUUUUGUGGGGUGCUCGAGUGGCGAACGGGUGAGUAACACGUGAGUAACCUGCCCUUGACUUUGGGAUAACUUCAGGAAACUGGGGCUAAUACCGGAUAGGAGCUCCUGCUGCAUGGUGGGGGUUGGAAAGUUUCGGCGGUUGGGGAUGGACUCGCGGCUUAUCAGCUUGUUGGUGGGGUAGUGGCAUACCAAGUCUUAGACGGGUAGCCGGCCUGAGAGGGUGACCGGCCACCAUGGGACUGCGAUACGGCCCAGACUCCUACGUGAGGCAGCAGUCGGGAAUAUUGCACAAUGGGCGGAAGCCUGAUGCAGCAACGUCGCGUUCGGGAUGACGUCCUUCGGGUUGUAAACCGCUUUCGCCUGUGACGAAGCGUGAGUGACGGUAAUUAGUAAAGAAGCACCGGCUAACUACGUG
This 468-nucleotide ribosomal RNA is filed under the name uncultured bacterium. RNAcentral's name for it is "partial 16S ribosomal RNA". It matches the Rfam family "Bacterial small subunit ribosomal RNA", at positions 28 to 507 of the family's 1533-position model. The record is from RNAcentral.